Molecule: ribosomal RNA, 822 nt
Filed under: uncultured deep-sea bacterium
Lineage: Bacteria
Description: bacterial SSU rRNA
Rfam family: Bacterial small subunit ribosomal RNA
Source: RNAcentral
AGAGUUUGAUCCUGGCUCAGGACGAACGCUGGCGGCGUGCUUAAUGCAUGCAAGUCGAACGAAGAACCCACUAUGGGUAACCACUGUGGGAUUCUUAGUGGCGAACGGGUGAGUAACACGUGAGAAACCUGCCCCGGAGACCGGGAUAGCCCAGGGAAACCUGGAUUAAUACCGGAUACCCUCUUACGACCGCAUGGUCGAUCGAGGAAAUGGUCCGCUGCUCCGGGAUGGUCUCGCGUCCUAUCAGCUAGUUGGUGAGGUAACGGCUCACCAAGGCUAUGACGGGUAGCUGGUCUGAGAGGACGAUCAGCCACACUGGGACUGAGACACGGCCCAGACUCCUACGGGAGGCAGCAGCAGGGAAUUUUGCACAAUGGGCGAAAGCCUGAUGCAGCGACGCCGCGUGGGGGAUGAAUGCCUUCGGGUUGUAAACCCCUUUCAGGAGGGACGAAGCGAAAGUGACGGUACCUCCAGAAGAAGCCCCGGCCAACUACGUGCCAGCAGCCGCGGUAAUACGUAGGGGGCGAGCGUUGUCCGGAUUUAUUGGGCGUAAAGAGCUCGUAGGCGGCUCAGCAAGUCGGCCGUGAAAGCCUGAGGCUCAACCUCAGGAUGCCGGUCGAAACUGCUGUGGCUAGGGUUCGGUAGAGGAGAGUGGAAUUCCCGGUGUAGCGGUGAAAUGCGCAGAUAUCGGGAGGAACACCAGUAGCGAAGGCGGCUCUCUGGGCCGACACCGACGCUGAGGAGCGAAAGCUAGGGGAGCAAACAGGAUUAGAUACCCUGGUAGUCCUAGCCGUAAACGUUGGGAACUAGGUGUGGCGGAUU